CCGGUACAAUGCGAAGCGAAGCAGCGAUGUGAAGCAAAUCGCACCAAAGCCGGUCCCAGUUCGGAUAAGAGGCUGAAACUCGCCUCUUUGAAGUCGGAAUCGCUAGUAAUCGCAGAUCAGCAUGUUGCGGUGAAUACGUUUCCUGGUCUUGUACACACCGCCCGUCAAACCAUGAGAGUCGCCAACACCCGAAGUCCGCUUUGCGGCCUAAGGUGGGGGAGAUGAUUGGGGUUAAGUCGUAACAAGGUAUC
This 251-nucleotide ribosomal RNA is filed under the name uncultured bacterium. RNAcentral's name for it is "partial 16S ribosomal RNA". It matches the Rfam family "Bacterial small subunit ribosomal RNA", at positions 1234 to 1500 of the family's 1533-position model. The record is from RNAcentral.